Molecule: non-coding RNA, 73 nt
Organism: Podarcis lilfordi (Lilford's wall lizard)
Lineage: Eukaryota; Metazoa; Chordata; Lepidosauria; Squamata; Lacertidae
Source: the annotation of a GenBank genome assembly
GCCAUUGUAGCUCAGUCAGUAGAGCAUGAGACUCUUAAACUCAAGGUUGUGGGUUCGAGUCCCAUGUUGAGCA